Molecule: long non-coding RNA, 1155 nt
Organism: Biomphalaria glabrata
Lineage: Eukaryota; Metazoa; Mollusca; Gastropoda; Planorbidae
Exons: 3
Source: RefSeq, a predicted model, not a curated record
AAUAACGGUGUAUGCUUCGCCGUGGGUAGACUAGUUUACACUAAAAUAGUUACACAGGUCAAAUGUUUCAUAAAACUCCAACUGUUUCGUUUCUAUAUAUUCUCACGUAACAACAUUUCAAUGUGAAAUUCUGGAUCCAUUUUAUUUAAUGAGAUUUUAAACUUUACCGCAGUUCCCUAAUCAAGAUACGCCGUCUCUUCGUUUUGACUUCAAGGCGUGCCAGGUUAAAUAGCGUUUCAUCGUAUCUACUUCAUCUUCCAGGGAUUUAAAAGCGCUGGGGUGGCCAAUCUAUGGUGCAAAAAAUAGAAAUGGAAAAGUGGUUUAAGUGCUGGAACAAGUCCCACAAGGCCCAUGGAGUCUGGGAGCGCAUGAGGCGCCCUGACCGCACUUCCCCGUGGUGGAGACUGUCCAGGUCUGAGUAAGCUAUUAUAUAGCACAUUGCAGGACAGGCAACUGUCCUGUUGGCUCAUAUUUCUCAUGGCUAUGGGCCACACUGAAAUAAUAAUUAAAAUUAUAAAUGCAAUAUAAACAUUUUAACAAAGACAGACUUACUAAGUAAAGUUUAUCUGUUGUUUUUUUUUUCUUAAAUCCCUUCCCCUACAACACACAAAUAUGAAUAACUAACCUAAUACAAAUCUACAAAUGACCAUACUCUAAAGAACUGAAUAAGAUGAGAAAAAAAAUUGGCGCAUGGAAGAAAAAGGUUAGCCACCCCUGGUGUAUUUUAUUUGAUACAAAGUAAUCGGAACAAAAUUUCAGAUUUUGCAAACUCAGAAUCUGUAUGUUGUAAAGGUCAUGUCAUGUGAUCAGCACAACAUUUCUAUGGACUCUGUUAGUCUACUUAUUAAAUAUUUACUUCAACUUUAAUUUUUACAAUUAUAUGUAAUAUAUUUCUAGCAAUAACAAUUAAAUGUAAUGUUGUACCAAUACUUAGCAUACAAUUUCUUCUAUUAUUUGCUUUAAUAAAUGUAUGUCAUACAUAUGACAAAAAAAAACACCAAAGUCUCUGUUGAUUGUGCUGUGCUGUUCUGUUCAUGUAGGAGAUUUAAAUGUCUGCACUUUCUGCGUCUGAGAUUAUUUCUAUAUUAUUACAGAAGAAUAUUAUUUUAUUGAUUGUACAAUUCAAAAUUUUAAAUUUUUAUUUUUGGUUUUCAA